This 1305-nucleotide ribosomal RNA is filed under the name uncultured bacterium. RNAcentral describes it as "bacterial SSU rRNA". It matches the Rfam family "Bacterial small subunit ribosomal RNA". The record is from RNAcentral.
AGAGUUUGAUCUGGCUCAGAACGAACGCUGGCGGCAGGCCUAACACAUGCAAGUCGAACGACACAGUGGCAGACGGGUGAGUAACGCGUGGGAACGUACCUUUCGCUACGGAAUAGCUCCGGGAAACUGGUGGUAAUACCGUAUACGCCCUCAGGGGGAAAGAUUUAUCGGCGAAAGAUCGGCCCGCGUUGGAUUAGCUAGUUGGUGAGGUAAUGGCUCACCAAGGCGACGAUCCAUAGCUGGUCUGAGAGGAUGAUCAGCCACACUGGGACUGAGACACGGCCCAGACUCCUACGGGAGGCAGCAGUGGGGAAUCUUGCACAAUGGGCGAAAGCCUGAUGCAGCCAUGCCGCGUGAAUGAUGAAGGCCUUAGGGUUGUAAAAUUCUUUCGCCAGGGAUGAUAAUGACAGUACCUGGUAAAGAAGCCCCGGCUAACUUCGUGCCAGCAGCCGCGGUAAUACGAAGGGGCUAGCGUUGUUCGGAAUUACUGGGCGUAAAGCGCACGUAGGCGGAUUCUUAAGUCAGGUGUGAAAUCCCGGGGCUCAACCUCGGAACUGCAUUUGAAACUGGGAGUCUUGAGAUCAGGAGAGGUUAGCGGAAUACCGAGUGUAGAGGUGAAAUUCGUAGAUAUUCGGUGGAACACCAGUGGCGAAGGCGGCUAACUGGACUGAUACUGACGCUGAGGUGCGAAAGUGUGGGGAGCAAACAGGAUUAGAUACCCUGGUAGUCCACACCGUAAACGAUGAGAGCUAGUUGUUGGCAGGCAUGCCUGUCGGUGACGCAGUUAACACAUUAAGCUCUCCGCCUGGGGAGUACGGCCGCAAGGUUAAAACUCAAAGAAAUUGACGGGGGCCCGCACAAGCGGUGAAGCAUGUGGUUUAAUUCGAAGCAACGCGCAGAACCUUACCUACCCUUGACAUGUCCAGUAUGGUUUCCAGAGAUGGAUUCCUUCAGUUCGGCUGGCUGGAACACAGGUGCUGCAUGGCUGUCGUCAGCUCGUGUCGUGAGAUGUUGGGUUAAGUCCCGCAACGAGCGCAACCCUCAUCCUUAGUUGCCAUCACGUUUGGGUGGGCACUCUAAGGAAACUGCCGGUGGCAAGCCGGAGGAAGGUGGGGAUGACGUCAAGUCCUCAUGGCCCUUACGGGUAGGGCUACACACGUGCUACAAUGGUGGUGACAAUGGGAUAAUCCCCAAAAACCAUCUCAGUUCGGAUUGUCGUCUGCAACUCGACGGCAUGAAGGUGGAAUCGCUAGUAAUCGUGGAUCAGCAUGCCACGGUGAAUACGUUCCCGGGCCUUGUACACAC